Molecule: ribosomal RNA, 444 nt
Filed under: uncultured bacterium
Lineage: Bacteria
Description: bacterial SSU rRNA
Rfam family: Bacterial small subunit ribosomal RNA
Source: RNAcentral
GUAGGGAAUAUUGGACAAUGGGUGCGAGCCUGAUCCAGCCAUGCCGCGUGCAGGAAGACGGCCUUCUGGGUUGUAAACUGCUUUUGCCAGGGGAUAAAACGGCUCUGCGGAGCUAAUUGAAGGUACCUGGUGAAUAAGCCACGGCUAACUACGUGCCAGCAGCCGCGGUAAUACGUAGGUGGCAAGCGUUGUCCGGAUUUAUUGGGUUUAAAGGGUGCGUAGGUGGUUCCAUAAGUCAGUGGUGAAAUACGGCAGCUUAACUGUCGAGGUGCCAUUGAUACUGCGGAACUUGAGUACAGACGAGGUAGGCGGAAUUGACGGUGUAGCGGUGAAAUGCUUAGAUAUCGUCAAGAACACCGAUAGCGAAGGCAGCUUACUAGACUGUAACUGACACUGAGGCACGAAAGUGUGGGGAUCAAACAGGAUUAGAAACCCCAGUAGUCC